This 257-nucleotide long non-coding RNA is filed under the name Medicago truncatula (barrel medic). Its description in RNAcentral is "lncRNA gene36499". The record is from RNAcentral. Lineage: Eukaryota; Viridiplantae; Streptophyta; Magnoliopsida; Fabales; Fabaceae.
AUGGUUUUCCAUGUCAUGAUUCUUGUGGGGGGUGUUCAGAGAGCAUCAUGCCAAAUUUUCUAUGAUUGUUUUGCUUUUUGUAUUGGUAGUUAGUUAUGAGGUCAUAACUAUCUUGUUUCAUUCACUAUAUAUUGCUUAACAAAUAAAUAUUUUAAGGAUGUAAAUUACAUGCACCAUACGUGUAUUGUGAGUAUAAUAAAUUAUUUGUAUGAACUUUAAACAUGAAUUUCAAAUUUUAGCUCAUUUAAAUGAUUUGU